CCUACGGGAGGCAGCAGUGAGGAAUAUUGGGCAAUGGACGCAAGUCUGAACCAGCCAUGCCGCGUGCAGGAAGACGGCUCGAUGAGUUGUAAACUGCUGUUGUACGAGGGUAAACGCAGAUACGCGUAUCUGUCUGAAAGUAUCGUACGAAUAAGGAUCGGCUAACUCCGUGCCAGCAGCCGCGGUAAGACGGAGGAUUCAAGCGUUAUCCGGAUUGAUUGGGGGUAAAGGGUGCGUAGGCGGUCGGCUAAGUUAGAGGUGAAAUCCCGAGGCUCAACUUCGGAAUUGCCUCUGAUACUGUUCGGCUAGAGCGUAGUUGCGGUAGGCGGAAUGUCUGGUGUAGCGGUG
RNAcentral lists this ribosomal RNA (348 nucleotides) under uncultured bacterium. RNAcentral describes it as "partial 16S ribosomal RNA". It matches the Rfam family "Bacterial small subunit ribosomal RNA", at positions 338 to 683 of the family's 1533-position model. The record is from RNAcentral.